CCUACGGGUGGCAGCAGUGGGGAAUAUUGCACAAUGGGCGAAAGCCUGAUGCAGCAACGCCGCGUGAGCGAUGAAGGCCUUCGGGUCGUAAAGCUCUGUCCUAUGGGAAGAUAAUGACGGUACCAUAGGAGGAAGCCCCGGCUAACUACGUGCCAGCAGCCGCGGUAAUACGUAGGGGGCAAGCGUUAUCCGGAAUUACUGGGCGUAAAGGGUGCGUAGGCGGUUUAUCAAGUCAGGGGUGAAAGGCUACGGCUCAACCGUAGUGAGCCUCUGAAACUGGUGAACUUGAGUGUAGGAGAGGAAAGUGGAAUUCCCAGUGUAGCGGUGAAAUGCGUAGAUAUUGGGAGGAACACCAGUGGCGAAGGCGACUUUCUGGACUACAACUGACGCUGAGGCACGAAAGCGUGGGGAGCAAACAGGAUUAGAUACCCGAGUAGUC
RNAcentral lists this ribosomal RNA (439 nucleotides) under uncultured bacterium. Its description in RNAcentral is "bacterial SSU rRNA". It matches the Rfam family "Bacterial small subunit ribosomal RNA", at positions 338 to 795 of the family's 1533-position model. The record is from RNAcentral.